Molecule: long non-coding RNA, 457 nt
Organism: Panicum virgatum (switchgrass)
Lineage: Eukaryota; Viridiplantae; Streptophyta; Magnoliopsida; Poales; Poaceae
Exons: 2
Source: RefSeq, a predicted model, not a curated record
UACUGAUGAUUCCUUCUGCUCGGUUUCUCGUAGAUCCUGGGCGAGAUGCUAAUUUUGGUGCUCUCGGUGGAUGGACAGGUCGAGGCGAAACAUCGUCAGCGCAGAUCGAUCUUGUCUUCCGAGCGCGAGGCAGGACGGUGGCUACCCUGCGAGAUUUUGAUGCGGCGUUUAUUAUUAGCAUCCAUCGGCCAAAUCCAGUGCUGUUGGCAGAUUCGAGGUGUGGAGGAUCAUGGUGGAGAGCUAUGCAUGAGCAGAUACUCGUGAGAAGGCUUUGCAAGUCGCAGUAGUCGAAGAAGCAGGCAUCAGAGAUUUCGACAACAGAACAUCUAUCGGCGGAUCGGAUCGGAGUAGUCGCCGGAUCUAAUUUAUAUUAGUAUAGAUUUUGUAAACUCCAUAAAGGAUUACGAGUUUGAGUAUAUACAUACUGCAACCAAAUGAAAGUGAUAAUUAACGUACA